This 134-nucleotide non-coding RNA is filed under the name Deltaproteobacteria bacterium. RNAcentral's name for it is "MoCo sequence". It matches the Rfam family "Molybdenum/Tungsten riboswitch aptamer (Moco RNA motif)". The record is from RNAcentral. Lineage: Bacteria; Pseudomonadati; Myxococcota; Myxococcia.
UUUAAGAUAAAACCUCGAGCGGUCUUCCCUAAGAAAUCACAUGAAGUGAUGAGAUGGGCUGCCGCCUGUGGGUCAAAUUGGAAACGAUUUGGCCUCCCGACCCCGUCUUGGCAAGAGAUCUCAGGAUCCCCUUG